AAAAAUGAAUUGCAGUAAAACUUGCUUUUUGUGGUCAUUUGUAGUUCUACCAGGUGGCAGGGCUUUAAAAUGUCAUCAGCUGAGUAAAGAAAAAUAAUCAUACUAGCCAAAAAAAGAAGAAGAGAACACGCUCAAAAUGGGAAAGCAUCGCAAACCGAGUCAGCGUUCGGACAUUGCCAGCAAUUUUAACAAAGAGGACAGGGUGGUUGUUAGCGCAGCUUUGGAGGACUUGGGGCUUCAGCUGAAUGCUUUGGGCCUCUAAUUAAAACUGCAGAGGAGUGGCGAAUUGUAUGGAAAGACUGAAGACCGGCCUUCAACAAAAUUUCGCAAAAACAAGUCAGAUGUUUGUUCUUUUUAAACAGCUGAUUUCUGCCAGGU
Long non-coding RNA from Drosophila obscura, 378 nucleotides. RefSeq lists it as uncharacterized. The transcript has 3 exons. NCBI's taxonomy places the organism in Eukaryota, Metazoa, Arthropoda, Insecta, Diptera, Drosophilidae. The record is from RefSeq and is a predicted model, not a curated record.